This 384-nucleotide ribosomal RNA is filed under the name Triticum aestivum (bread wheat). RNAcentral's name for it is "partial small subunit ribosomal RNA". Lineage: Eukaryota; Viridiplantae; Streptophyta; Magnoliopsida; Poales; Poaceae. The record is from RNAcentral.
AUGGCUAGUACGGAGCUGGGGUGUCCAGUGGGCUCAUUUCCAGUUCGGUAUCUUGGGCUUCCAUUGUCUUUGAGGAAACUUUCUGCUACCCAACUCCAAUGUCUCGUGGAUCAGAUGGGAAACCAACUGCCAAAAUGGAAGGCUACUCUAAUGCCAAAGAGUGGAAGACUGACUCUGGUGCAUUCUGUUCUGUGUGCCAUGCCCAUUCACGCUAUGAUGGUGUUGGAUCUGCCGAUCAAAACGAUUGCCGCAAUGAAUAAGGUGUGCCGGGGAUUCCCGUGGUGCCGUAAGGCCGAAGCAAAUGGUGGAAAUUGUGCUGUGGCAUGGGAGGUGGUGUGUGCUCCGAAGUGGGCAGGAGGUCUAGGGCUGCCUAAUUUGAGGUAG